RNAcentral lists this ribosomal RNA (2929 nucleotides) under Salmonella enterica subsp. enterica serovar Anatum. Its description in RNAcentral is "bacterial LSU rRNA". It matches the Rfam family "Bacterial large subunit ribosomal RNA". RNAcentral also lists the same sequence under 3 other names. Lineage: Bacteria; Pseudomonadati; Pseudomonadota; Gammaproteobacteria; Enterobacterales; Enterobacteriaceae. The record is from RNAcentral.
GGGUUGUGAGGUUAAGCGACUAAGCGUACACGGUGGAUGCCCUGGCAGUCAGAGGCGAUGAAGGGCGUGCUAAUCUGCGAUAAGCGCCGGUAAGGUGAUAUGAACCGUUAUAACCGGCGAUACCCGAAUGGGGAAACCCAGUGUGACUCGUCACACUAUCAUUAACUGAAUCCAUAGGUUAAUGAGGCGAACCGGGGGAACUGAAACAUCUAAGUACCCCGAGGAAAAGAAAUCAACCGAGAUUCCCCCAGUAGCGGCGAGCGAACGGGGAGGAGCCCAGAGCCUGAAUCAGCAUGUGUGUUAGUGGAAGCGUCUGGAAAGGCGCGCGAUACAGGGUGACAGCCCCGUACACAAAAGCGCAUGUGCUGUGAGCUCGAUGAGUAGGGCGGGACACGUGGUAUCCUGUCUGAAUAUGGGGGGACCAUCCUCCAAGGCUAAAUACUCCUGACUGACCGAUAGUGAACCAGUACCGUGAGGGAAAGGCGAAAAGAACCCCGGCGAGGGGAGUGAAAAAGAACCUGAAACCGUGUACGUACAAGCAGUGGGAGCACAGGUUUACCUGUGUGACUGCGUACCUUUUGUAUAAUGGGUCAGCGACUUAUAUUCUGUAGCAAGGUUAACCGUAUAGGGGAGCCGUAGGGAAACCGAGUCUUAACCGGGCGUUAAGUUGCAGGGUAUAGACCCGAAACCCGGUGAUCUAGCCAUGGGCAGGUUGAAGGUUGGGUAACACUAACUGGAGGACCGAACCGACUAAUGUUGAAAAAUUAGCGGAUGACCUGUGGCUGGGGGUGAAAGGCCAAUCAAACCGGGAGAUAGCUGGUUCUCCCCGAAAGCUAUUUAGGUAGCGCCUCGUGAAUUCAUCUCCGGGGGUAGAGCACUGUUUCGGCUAGGGGGCCAUCCCGGCUUACCAACCCGAUGCAAACUGCGAAUACCGGAGAAUGUUAUCACGGGAGACACACGGCGGGUGCUAACGUCCGUCGUGAAGAGGGAAACAACCCAGACCGCCAGCUAAGGUCCCAAAGUCAUGGUUAAGUGGGAAACGAUGUGGGAAGGCCCAGACAGCCAGGAUGUUGGCUUAGAAGCAGCCAUCAUUUAAAGAAAGCGUAAUAGCUCACUGGUCGAGUCGGCCUGCGCGGAAGAUGUAACGGGGCUAAACCAUGCACCGAAGCUGCGGCAGCGACGCUUAUGCGUUGUUGGGUAGGGGAGCGUUCUGUAAGCCUGUGAAGGUGUGUCGUGAGGCAUGCUGGAGGUAUCAGAAGUGCGAAUGCUGACAUAAGUAACGAUAAAGCGGGUGAAAAGCCCGCUCGCCGGAAGACCAAGGGUUCCUGUCCAACGUUAAUCGGGGCAGGGUGAGUCGACCCCUAAGGCGAGGCCGAAAGGCGUAGUCGAUGGGAAACGGGUUAAUAUUCCCGUACUUGGUGUUACUGCGAAGGGGGGACGGAGAAGGCUAUGUUGGCCGGGCGACGGUUGUCCCGGUUUAAGCGUGUAGGUGUGUGUUCCAGGUAAAUCCGGUUCACUUUAACACUGAGGCGUGAUGACGAGGCACUACGGUGCUGAAGCAACAAAUGCCCUGCUUCCAGGAAAAGCCUCUAAGCAUCAGGUAACAUCAAAUCGUACCCCAAACCGACACAGGUGGUCAGGUAGAGAAUACCAAGGCGCUUGAGAGAACUCGGGUGAAGGAACUAGGCAAAAUGGUGCCGUAACUUCGGGAGAAGGCACGCUGAUAUGUAGGUGAAGUGAUUUACUCAUGGAGCUGAAAUCAGUCGAAGAUACCAGCUGGCUGCAACUGUUUAUUAAAAACACAGCACUGUGCAAACACGAAAGUGGACGUAUACGGUGUGACGCCUGCCCGGUGCCGGAAGGUUAAUUGAUGGGGUCAGCGCAAGCGAAGCUCCUGAUCGAAGCCCCGGUAAACGGCGGCCGUAACUAUAACGGUCCUAAGGUAGCGAAAUUCCUUGUCGGGUAAGUUCCGACCUGCACGAAUGGCGUAAUGAUGGCCAGGCUGUCUCCACCCGAGACUCAGUGAAAUUGAACUCGCUGUGAAGAUGCAGUGUACCCGCGGCAAGACGGAAAGACCCCGUGAACCUUUACUAUAGCUUGACACUGAACAUUGAGCCUUGAUGUGUAGGAUAGGUGGGAGGCUUUGAAGCGUGGACGCCAGUCUGCGUGGAGCCGACCUUGAAAUACCACCCUUUAAUGUUUGAUGUUCUAACGUGGACCCGUAAUCCGGGUUGCGGACAGUGUCUGGUGGGUAGUUUGACUGGGGCGGUCUCCUCCUAAAGAGUAACGGAGGAGCACGAAGGUUGGCUAAUCCUGGUCGGACAUCAGGAGGUUAGUGCAAUGGCAUAAGCCAGCUUGACUGCGAGCGUGACGGCGCGAGCAGGUGCGAAAGCAGGUCAUAGUGAUCCGGUGGUUCUGAAUGGAAGGGCCAUCGCUCAACGGAUAAAAGGUACUCCGGGGAUAACAGGCUGAUACCGCCCAAGAGUUCAUAUCGACGGCGGUGUUUGGCACCUCGAUGUCGGCUCAUCACAUCCUGGGGCUGAAGUAGGUCCCAAGGGUAUGGCUGUUCGCCAUUUAAAGUGGUACGCGAGCUGGGUUUAGAACGUCGUGAGACAGUUCGGUCCCUAUCUGCCGUGGGCGCUGGAGAACUGAGGGGGGCUGCUCCUAGUACGAGAGGACCGGAGUGGACGCAUCACUGGUGUUCGGGUUGUCAUGCCAAUGGCACUGCCCGGUAGCUAAAUGCGGAAAAGAUAAGUGCUGAAAGCAUCUAAGCACGAAACUUGCCCCGAGAUGAGUUCUCCCUGAGACUUAGAGUCUCCUGAAGGAACGUUGAAGACGACGACGUUGAUAGGCCGGGUGUGUAAGCACAGCGAUGCGUUGAGCUAACCGGUACUAAUGAACCGUGAGGCUUAACCUUACAACGCCGAAG